RNAcentral lists this long non-coding RNA (1846 nucleotides) under Haliotis rubra (blacklip abalone). RNAcentral's name for it is "uncharacterized LOC124257182". The record is from RNAcentral. Lineage: Eukaryota; Metazoa; Mollusca; Gastropoda; Lepetellida; Haliotidae.
GAUCGAUGUUCAUGCUGUUGAUCACUGGAUUGUCUGGUCCAGACUCGAUUAUUUACAGACAGUCACCAUAUAGCUGCAAUAUUGCUGAGAGCGGCGUAAAUCUAAAUUCACUCACCCACAUGACAACAUGCUAUCAUGUAAUUACAUCACCAAUUAGCACCUGAAUCACGGUUCACCUUUAGGUAUUUCCUAUGUUUAGGUGAAUAAUUGACCUGUCUUUGCGUGUGUUUAUGACAAAUGCCACCAAUGCGGCCUACGCUCACUACUUUGCGAACAGCUGAUAUCUUCACUAUUUGAUAGUUUUACAAAUACAUGUUCAUUGGAAGUACAGUAUUGACAAACUUAAUGGAUACCAACUUCUUUUAUUCCGUGAGUGCGACGUUCGAUAGAGAUUCGUGUACCGUUGUCCAUAAUAUAUGAGGAUGUUGUAGUCAACAUCGUAAAGCAAGUUUGUAUUUUUGAAUUUGGUUUCUGGAAACAUUUCUUAUGAAAACCAAACGUCACGAGCCAGUUAUAAACUCCGCCUCAUUACAAGUACUUGACCGCUCACGAAAUGUCGACCAUUCCUCUAAGAAAGAUUUAUGUACUUGCAAAAAUAUAACAACGUUUAGCUAUCGUGUUAAGUGGUGCUCAAUUCGAAACCUGCUCAACUUGAAACAUGACCUUUCUUGAAGACCAGAUGAAAAUUACCAAUGCUCAGAUUACCAAAUUCUUGCUCAGAAUUUUCAUCAUGGUUUUCUUGAGAAUAGUGUAACCUGUACUAACAUGAAUAUACAUUCCUAGUAUGUAUUUGUAAAGACAUUUUAUAUGGUUUAUGCAUCGACCCGUCCUAUACUACUGUCGUCAGGAUCUGCGGGAGUUCACGUAUUUUAUUUGAAUACCCAAACGUAUAUUUUGUAUCAUGAACGUUGUCCAAAUUUGGUACGACGUAGCUGUAGCAAGCACGAACCUGUGCUGGACAUGGUGUUGGUGUUCAUUGUCGUUAACACCAAGACCAAGAUGAAUGCAACUUUUCUUCUGAUGUUCAUUAAUACUACAGACAUUAGAUGGUACUGUCAGGCAUGGAUCAUUUAAACAUUCAAUAGUACUUAGCAUUCUUGUAGACCAGAACUAUUCCAUCAUUGCUCAGAUUACCAAAUUAUUGCUCAUGUUUAUACCACAUUGCAAUCGUGAAUGUCGUAGCGUCCUGGGCCCUGAUCCAUAAAGCGUUCGUAACGUUACGACCUGUCUUAACUCUGUAGUUUACCAAAGGCUUACGAAUGUUGUAGCGCUACGAAUGCUUUGUGAAUGGGACCCUGUGACACGUUUCACAAAGCUAUCGUAGCGCUACGACCGGUUGUAAGUCUAUAGACUACCAUAGACUUACGAAUAUUGUAGCGCUACGAAUGCUCUGUCAGGGGGGACCAUGGUUCAGAACUUGGACGCCCUACAAAUCGGGCGAUUAACAUUUCAGGAAGGAUGGCUGUGUAUGCUAGAUAUGCUAUGACUUGCUGUCAGUCUUGUUCUUUAGGGUUUACACCGUUCAGGUAGUGCUGGGUGUUUUACUGUCCGAGGCUGCCGAAGGGUCACCUCAUACUGGCUUUUAUAAUGUUGACAUUAAAUAUGUCAAGAUGAAUAAGAAAUGUCUCCGUCGGGCCCAAGUGUCGGUGUCAGGAUAUUUCGUUAUAUGUGAUGGUGGUUAUAUGUGAGACAUCCACGCCGAUGUUGAACUCGGAAUGGGCCGAACACGGUGUUUCACAUGUAAAUCACUCUUUGCUUAUGUCUGAAUGUCUUUUAUUUCAUGAUGUAAACUUUUAAUGUAUAUAAGCAUUGAUGACGUGCUUUAAUAAAAGAUAGUGUCAUUGGA